This 449-nucleotide ribosomal RNA is filed under the name uncultured bacterium. Its description in RNAcentral is "partial 16S ribosomal RNA". It matches the Rfam family "Bacterial small subunit ribosomal RNA", at positions 338 to 795 of the family's 1533-position model. The record is from RNAcentral.
CCUACGGGGGGCUGCAGUAAGGAAUAUUGGUCAAUGGACGCAAGUCUGAACCAGCCAUGCCGCGUGGAGGAUGAAGGUCCUCUGGAUUGUAAACUUCUUUUAUUUGGGAAGAAACUCCCGAUUUCCAUCGGGAUUGACGGUACCAGAUGAAUAAGCACCGGCUAACUCCGUGCCAGCAGCCGCGGUAAUACGGAGGGUGCAAGCGUUAUCCGGAUUCAGUGGGUUUAAGGGGGCAGGUAAGGCAGUGGUAGAAUCUCCGUGCUUAGCCCGGAAACUGCCAUUGAUACUAUUUGUCUUGAGUUCUCUGGAGGUGAGCGGAAUAUGUCAUGUAGCGGUGAAAUGCUUAGAUAUGACAUAGAACACCCAUUGCGAAGGCAGCUCACUACGGAAAUAUUGACGCUGAGGCACGAAAGCGUGGGGAUCAAACAGGAUUAGAUACCCCAGUAGUC